Molecule: long non-coding RNA, 772 nt
Filed under: Equus caballus (horse)
Lineage: Eukaryota; Metazoa; Chordata; Mammalia; Perissodactyla; Equidae
Description: lncRNA (ENSECAG00000037658.2)
Source: RNAcentral
UGUCUCUUUCCUGGCAUGUUCUGAAGAAGCCCAUGGAGGGGAGUAGACUUCUGAAAGAAUAUGGUUGACCUUGUUAUACAAGAGAUCAGAGAGAGAAGAAAUACAAGAGAGAAUGAGAAGGAAAAGGAGGAGGGAAAGAAAAAGGAAAAGUGGAAUAAACCAAGAGAGAUGUGUCAAGAUGAUAAAAUUGAGGAAUCAGGAGGAUUUUGAACACAGGAUGUCACACUACAGUCUAAACCUUCCUUGUUCACUAAGCUAAACCCUCAUAUUUGGAGACUACUGAAUGAGAAGAAUAAUGCAAUGUGUUGAAUGCCUACAACACCUCAAGGACCUUUUUUUCAUCUUUUACUUUUUAAAAUUUUAUUGUAGUAAGAACACUUAACAUGAGAUCUACCUUUCUAAAAAAUUGUUAAUUGUAGACUACAUUAUUGUUGACUAUAGGUAUAAUGCUGUAUAGCAGGUCUCUAGAGCUUAUUAAUCUUGCUUGAUUGGAACUUUAUGCACACUGAUUAGUAACUCCUCAUUUCUCUCUCCCCCUAGACCCUGGUAACCACAAUUCCACUCUUUGAUUCUAUGAAUUUGACUAUUUUAGAUACCUCACAUAAAUGGAAUCAUGCUGUAUUUACCUGUGACUGGCUUAUUUCACUUAGCAUAGUGUCCUCAAAGUUCACUUAUGUUGCCACAUAUUCCAGAAUUUCAUUGUUUAAAAGGCUGAAUAAUAUUUCAUCAUGUGUAUAUACCAGAUUUUCCUUAUCCAUUCAUCUGUCGAUGG